This 1521-nucleotide ribosomal RNA is filed under the name uncultured Planctomycetales bacterium. RNAcentral's name for it is "16S ribosomal RNA". It matches the Rfam family "Bacterial small subunit ribosomal RNA". The record is from RNAcentral. Lineage: Bacteria; Pseudomonadati; Planctomycetota; Planctomycetia; Planctomycetales.
CAUGCAAGUCGAACGAGGAUAUAUCCUUCGGGAUAUAAGCCGAGUGGCGCAAGGGUGAGUAAUGCAUAGAUUACCUGCCUCUAGGAUAAGGACAACUUUGUGAAAACGAAGCUAAUACUUAAUAAUACAAAAGAAAAUAAUUUUCUUUUGUCAAUGGGAGGGUAGCAAUACCUUUUGCCUAGAGAGGGGUUUAUGUCCUAUCAGCUUGUUGGUGGGGUAAUGGCCUACCAAGGCGAAGACGGGUAGCCGGUCUUAGAGGAUGGUCGGCCACACUGGGACUGAGACACUGCCCAGACUUCUACGGAAGGCUGCAGUCGAGAAUCUUUCGCAAUGCCCGAAAGGGUGACGAAGCGACGCCGCGUGAGUGAGGAAGGCCUUAGGGUUGUAAAGCUCUGUCAGGAGUUAAGAAAUAUAAGUGUGUUAAUACCACGUUUAUUUGACGAAGGCUCCAAAGGAAGCCACGGCUAACUCUGUGCCAGCAGCCGCGGUAAUACAGAGGUGGCAAGCGUUGUUCGGAAUUAUUGGGCGUAAAGAGCACGUAGGUGGGUUUGUAAGUCAGAUGUGAAAGCCUUCUGUUCAACGGAAGAAUUGCAUCUGAAACUGCAAGUCUUGAGUGUAGGAGGGGAGAAUGGAACUUCUGGUGGAGCGGUGAAAUGCGUAGAUAUCGGAAGGAACGCCGGCGGCGAAAGCGAUUCUCUGGCCUAUUACUGACACUCAGUGUGCGAAAGCUAGGGGAGCAAACGGGAUUAGAUACCCCGGUAGUCCUAGCCGUAAACGAUGGGCACUAAGUAGAGGGAAUUACCGAUGUUCUCUCUGCCGUAGCUAACGCAUUAAGUGCCCCGCCUGGGGAGUACGGCCGCAAGGCUAAAACUCAAAAGAAUUGACGGGGGCUCGCACAAGCGGUGGAGCAUGUGGCUUAAUUCGAUGCAACGCGAAAAACCUUACCGGGGCUUGACAUGGUAGAAGUAGGAACCCGAAAGGGUAACGAACGGUAUCCAGUCCAUAGCUAUCACAGGUGUUGCAUGGCUGUCGUCAGCUCGUGUCGUGAGACGUUGGGUUAAGUCCCCUAACGAGCGAAACCCUUGUUUUUAGUUACCAGCGGGUUAUGCCGGGUACUCUAGAAAGACUGCCGUCGUCAAGACGGAGGAAGGUGGGGAUGACGUCAAGUCAUCAUGGCCCUUAUGCCCCGGGCUGCACACGUGCUACAAUGGUCGGUACAAACGGAAGCGAAGCCGAGAGGUGAAGCGAAUCCUAAAAAGCCGAUCUCAGUUCGGAUUGGAGGCUGAAAUUCGCCUCCAUGAAGUUGGAAUCGCUAGUAAUCGCGGAUCAGCAAUGCCGCGGUGGAUAUGUUCCCGAGCCUUGUACACACCGCCCGUCAAGCCACCCAAGCAGGAUGCACCCGAAAACAUUAUAUCUAACCAGGGCAACUUGGAGGAAAGUGUUGAAGGAGUGUUUUGUGAGGAGGACUAAGUCGUAACAAGGUAGUCGUAGGAGAACCUGCGGCUGGAUCACCUCCUUUCU